Non-coding RNA from Mycena alexandri, 93 nucleotides. NCBI's taxonomy places the organism in Eukaryota, Fungi, Basidiomycota, Agaricomycetes, Agaricales, Mycenaceae. The record is from the annotation of a GenBank genome assembly.
GGUCUGGUGGUGUAGUCGUUACACGUCCUCACAUAUUGCUCGGGUACUGUAAUUACUUCUGAGGAAGUCCCCGUUCGACUCGGGGUCAGACCA